Molecule: ribosomal RNA, 904 nt
Filed under: uncultured bacterium
Lineage: Bacteria
Description: bacterial SSU rRNA
Rfam family: Bacterial small subunit ribosomal RNA
Source: RNAcentral
AGUUUGAUCCUGGCUCAGGAUGAACGCUGGCGGCGUGCCUAAUACAUGCAAGUCGAACGAAUCUCUUUUAGAGAUGAGUGGCGAACGGGUGAGUAAUACAUAGGUAACCUGCCCCUGUGCGGGGGAUAACAGGAGGAAACUCCUGCUAAUACCGCAUAGCCAUGAGCACCGCAUGGAGCUCAUGCCAAAUAUCCUUUCGGGGAUAGCGCAGGGAUGGACCUAUGGCGCAUUAGCUGGUUGGCGGGGCAACGGCCCACCAAGGCAACGAUGCGUAGCCGGCCUGAGAGGGCGGACGGCCACAUUGGGACUGAGACACGGCCCAGACUCCUACGGGAGGCAGCAGUAGGGAAUUUUCGGCAAUGGGGGAAACCCUGACCGAGCAACGCCGCGUGAGCGAAGAAGGCCUUCGGGUCGUAAAGCUCUGUUGUAAAGGAAGAACGGCGCAUACAGGAAAUGGUAUGCGAGUGACGGUACUUUACCAGAAAGCCACGGCUAACUACGUGCCAGCAGCCGCGGUAAUACGUAGGUGGCGAGCGUUAUCCGGAAUCAUUGGGCGUAAAGAGGGAGCAGGCGGCCGCAAGGGUCUGUGGUGAAAGACCGAAGCUAAACUUCGGUAAGCCAUGGAAACCGGGCGGCUAGAGUGCGGAAGAGGAUCGUGGAAUUCCAUGUGUAGCGGUGAAAUGCGUAGAUAUAUGGAGGAACACCAGUGGCGAAGGCGACGGUCUGGGCCGCAACUGACGCUCAUUCCCGAAAGCGUGGGGAGCAAAUAGGAUUAGAUACCCUAGUAGUCCACGCCGUAAACGAUGGUCACUAAGUGUCGGGGGUCAAACCCCGGUGCUGCAGUCAACGCAAUAAGUGACCCGCCUGAGUAGUACGUUCGCAAGAAUGAAACUCAAAGGAAUUG